GAGGCAGUUAAGCUCUGGAGAGCAGAGAUCACUCCAGAACAACAACACAACCAUGUUCUCCACACCUCUUCUACUCCUGCUGGCAGCUGCAUCCUAUGUGCAUGGUGAAGAACUGACUCAGCCUGCUUCCAUGACAGUGCAGCCAGGCCAGAGUCUGUCCAUCAACUGCAAAGUCUCAUAUUCAGUUACUAGCUGGAGCACAGCUUGGAUCCGACAACCUGCAGGAAAAGCCCUAGAGUGGAUUGGGUAUAUCUAUAGUGGUGGGAGUACAUCUUACAGUGAUAAAUUAAAAAACAAGUUCAGCAUCUCUAGAGACACUGGCAGUAACACGAUAACAUUACAAGGACAGAAUCUGCAAACUGAAGACACAGCUGUAUAUUACUGUGCAAGAGACUCACAGUAA
Electrophorus electricus (electric eel) is the source of this 403-nucleotide non-coding RNA. NCBI's taxonomy places the organism in Eukaryota, Metazoa, Chordata, Actinopteri, Gymnotiformes, Gymnotidae. The record is from the annotation of a RefSeq genome assembly.